Molecule: non-coding RNA, 2218 nt
Organism: Misgurnus anguillicaudatus (oriental weatherfish)
Lineage: Eukaryota; Metazoa; Chordata; Actinopteri; Cypriniformes; Cobitidae
Source: RefSeq, a predicted model, not a curated record
CAAUGAAAAUGAAUUAAUAAAUCAAUACAACCAAACACCUAAUUACGGUUGACUUUGCUAACAUGAUGGAUUAUCCUACAUCUCAAGUUAUUUUUGCAAAAACAUCAUGUAACCAAAUUCAAGUAUAUGUUAGCUAGAAGUGGGUUACUCAUAGCCGGACUAUAUCAGGUCAAUUGUUAACCUAGAUGGUGAAAUGAUGGCUAUUGCUUGCUGGGGUUGUGCUUUUUAAAAGUUUAUUACACCCAAAUACUGCUUUCUUUAUUGAAAUAAAAUCUGGUUUCUAGGAAUAAUUCUAGGAAUUAUUGGGUCUAAGUUGCAUUAUUUAAUAACUCAUCAAGUAAAAUAAACAAGGAAUCAUGGUAGGCCUAUAUAUAGCCUUUUCAGUCAAUCACAUAUUCAAGUACAGAGAGAAUACACAAUGAUGACUCUGGGGGUAGAUUUUAAAUUUGUGUUUUAUAAAAUUAUAUAUUGCAACCGUUGAAUUUGAACACACACUAAAACAAAUUUGUUUAUGACGUGAACAAAAUAGGAAGAAAUGCAUGGACAACGUCUUCACUGACUCCUAAGAGAGAUAAAGAUAAAGAAAUGAAUGAAAUCAGGAACAUUUAGUUGAACAUGUUCAACUCUCUAAUUUUUUUAAAGAUCUUAGUCACCACAGAGCACACACAUUUUAUACAGUGAUGCCACAGUUACUUUGAAAAAUUAAUCUGAUUACUGAUUACUCCUUUAAAAAGUAACUAAGUUACUUUACAGAUUACUUGAUUUUAAAAGUAACUAAGUGUAACCAGGUCAAAAAGAGAACAUGUAAAUCAUAAAAGAAUACGUGAUGUAUCUUAUUUAAGCCCUGUGUUAUGGGUCCUGUGCAUAAAAUGUGUAUAAGGCCUAGUCCACACGGACACGGGUAUUUUUAUAACCGUGAGUUUUUUCACGCGGUUCGGCCGUUCGUCCACACGAAACCGCAGUAUCAGUGCACUGAAACCGAGCAUAUUUGAAAACCCCGGCCAGGGUGAGCUUUUUAAGAAACCCCGGUUACAGUGGUGUCGUGUAGAGAGUAAAACCGGGGGUUUUGCCUUGCGACGUCAGAGUGUGCGCCGUUAUUCACUGUGUUUGACGUCAAGAUUGUGCGCCUCUGACUGCUUUGUUGAUGAUUCUUUGCAAUUGCGGACGUAUCUUGCUAAUAAUAACUGUGCUAACAGGGCUUCAACAUGUAUACAGAUAGAUGCUCAGUUAUCUCACUAUAUUGCGGAACACGAUUUGGGUUAUAUCCCCGCCUGCUGGUGUGGCAUGCUCUUGACAGCGCUUGAUAGCGUGCUUUUGCUUUAUCGUGUGGAUGGAUAUUUAAUUUAAACCGAGCAUGUGUGGACGGGAUUUUUUUUUAGGGAAAACUCCGGUUAUAAAUAUACCCGUGUCCGUGUGGACUAAGCCUAAAUGCCUUUUUUAAUGUGUUGCUGAAAUGUUACGCUGGCCCUUUAAGAAACGGGACUGUAAUGCUGCGGGAAGUUUUUUUGUUUACUUCCUGUGUACAGUGCGGUUCACAACGCGGUUUAGAGAGUGCACGUGCAGUGGGGAAUAUAGCCAUCCAACACAAAAAACCACAAAAUAAGAAACUAUAGUGAGAUAUAGUGAAGCUAAAAGCUUUUGAGUGUUUUAUGUUAUUUGGAUGGCUGUGUAUUUUGCUGAUUGACAGCGAUUUCUGUUGAGAUACAUCUCGUGUGGUGUGUAAAUAGCACGAAAUUGAUUCUCAAAGAAGCGUAAGUGUUUACAUAUAAUCAGUAUACGAAGAGUUCUGAGUAUAUGAUUAUUGAGUUUUGUGUGUAAUUUUAUGUGGACCAGUGAUAUUGAAACAUAGUUAUUCUGUUUAAUUAAGAGGGGAGAAAGUGCUUCGUAAGCCUUCUGUGUGUUUCCUGGGGAGUGUGAAGCAUCAGAAGAAAGAACGAGUCUGUCAUAUGCUGUGAUAGUGUGUGCAUGUGUCAGAGGGGUGAUAAAAAGGCUGCUACCGUUGUCUAUGUUAGCUAGUUAAACAAAGAGAAUUCUGUCUUUUACUAAAAAGAAGGACAUACACAUUGUGAUAAGAGAAGCAAACUUUUUUGUUUAAGUUAUUUCCACAAACUUUAUUUACAAGCUUUACCUUUCCAUCUCUACAACUCCAAAGUUUGCAAAAUUAACGCUGCACUGCCUAACGUGCAGUCUGAAAUAAAAGAUCCCCGUUUAAAUUUUA